RNAcentral lists this ribosomal RNA (438 nucleotides) under Coprinellus sp. RNAcentral describes it as "eukaryotic LSU rRNA". The stretch from base 80 to 233 matches the Rfam family "5.8S ribosomal RNA". Lineage: Eukaryota; Fungi; Basidiomycota; Agaricomycetes; Agaricales; Psathyrellaceae. The record is from RNAcentral.
GCUCUACGUCUUUUUACACACCCCAAUAGUAUGAUGCAGAAUGUAGUCAAUGGGCUUCUCAGCCUAUAAAACACUAUACAACUUUCAGCAACGGAUCUCUUGGCUCUCGCAUCGAUGAAGAACGCAGCGAAAUGCGAUAAGUAAUGUGAAUUGCAGAAUUCAGUGAAUCAUCGAAUCUUUGAACGCACCUUGCGCUCCUUGGUAUUCCGAGGAGCAUGCCUGUUUGAGUGUCAUUAAAUUCUCAACCUCACCAGUUUUCUGAACUGACUGAGGCUUGGAUGUGGGGGUUUGUGCAAGCUGCCUCACCGGCGGUCUGCUCCCCUGAAAUGCAUUACCGAGGUUCAUGCUGGACCUCCGUCUAUUGGUGUGAUAAUUAUCUACUCCGUGGACGACGAUACUGACUCGCUUCUAACCGUCCGCAAGGAAAAUACCUUGAUA